AACGCGAAGAACCUUACCAAAUCUUGACAUCCUUCUGACCGGUCCGUAACGGGAUCUUUCCUUCGGGACAGAAGAGACAGGUGGUGCAUGGUUGUCGUCAGCUCGUGUCGUGAGAUGUUGGGUUAAGUCCCGCAACGAGCGCAACCCUUAUCCCCAGUAGCCAGCAGGUAAAGCUGGGCACUCUGAGGAGACUGCCAGGGAGAACCUGGAGGAAGGCGGGGAUGACGUCAAAUCAUCAUGCCCCUUAUGAUUUGGGCUACACACGUGCUACAAUGGCGUGAACAGAGGGAAGCAGAGCCGCGAGGCCGAGCGAAUCUCAAAAAACGCGUCCCAGUUCGGACUGUAGUCUGCAACCCGACUGCACGAAGCUGGAAUCGCUAGUAAUCGCGG
RNAcentral lists this ribosomal RNA (390 nucleotides) under uncultured bacterium. RNAcentral's name for it is "bacterial SSU rRNA". It matches the Rfam family "Bacterial small subunit ribosomal RNA", at positions 958 to 1347 of the family's 1533-position model. The record is from RNAcentral.